AGCAGCGACAGCCCCAAAUACUCUGAGUCUAUAGUUACAUCCUGCUGGCUGCUCUGAUGCCACACACAGAGUGAAAGAGGUGGUGACAGGGGAGGAAUUGGCAGACGGCUCCAAGGCGUCGGGCAGGCGGCUCUCCCCUCUCCCGAAGAGGCAGCCACACUACUCCGGGGUCAGCAGGGAGCAGCCCAGGGAGCCUCGGAAAGAUGCCCCGAGCAAGCCUUACGGAGGAAUGCUGAUAUGUGGGAACUGACAAAGAAGCAUGAGAGAGCCGAUGUUCACCUCUUAAACCUGAUGAAAUUUGCUGGUGAAUCACAGGCUGCAAAAUACAACUGAGCAAGUUAAAUUCCACUUCCCUUGAACACGGAAGCCAGCAGUGCAUUUGUCACAUGGUCACAUCAGCAGACCACAACAACAAGAGCAAUCACCUGGUGAAACAAUCCACACAGAGAUUUGGAAGGAAAAUUUCUUUCAGGCAGGUGACACUGGACAUCUGGCAGUCCUCUGCUUCUGUUCUGAGAGUAACACCCACGUUGUAGGGCACGCUGCCAGAAGCUGCACCCACCUGGGACAUAGCCAGCCCAAGAUGAAAGGGAGCACCAAAUCCAGAAGGGAUGAUUAGCAUUCACUGAUGUUGUUCAGGACACAAGUAACUGGGAACAUGCUAAUUCCCCUUAGGUGUUCAGUACUGCACGGAAAAGUCAGGGAACUAAGAAAGUUAAUCAGGUCAGAGCCAGGCUUGCAUAUGCUUUCUCCACAGGAAUUACAAACUAUUUGCCAAAUAUUCAGAUUGGGUAAUUGCUACCCGGACUACUAAGGAUAUGCAGCCCAAAAGAAGAUAAUUGCUCAGAGGUUCUGAUAGAUUGCAUCACUCUCGGCCAAAGUAUAUGACAGAAUGAGAAUUAUCAACACAUAAUGUAAGGAUACAAGCCUGCUCAUACAGCAGAGCUGAACCCAUCAUGGCUGGCUGAAGCAGAAAAAACAUUAACCCCCCCAGACUGUUCAUAAGAAGGCAUUAAUUUGAUCCUGAACUCCAGAAGCAUUUGUGGAAUCCAGAGAUUCCCUGAAAUAACCUUCUCUUUCUUAGGACACAGGGGACAAGCAUUUAUCCCUGCUCUCUCUAAAAUGUAAAUUUGACCAAAGCUAAUUUUACCCCAGAGUCUAGCUAUGAGAUCAUUGUUCUGCCAGCAUACAAGUUUAGUCUCACACUGCCACAUAUUUUAUGACCAAAUGCAACUUGGAGCAGAGCCUGUACAGUCCAUCAUGGGUGCUGCUGUGUGAUAAAAAAAAAUCCAUCAUCCAUUAUAUUUAACUAUAAAGCUUUGGUGAAAAUCAGGCUACUUCUAACAAAAAUCUUUAGAUAUUAGUAAGAUUAGGAAAUAGAAAGACCAGGCAUCCAAAAUACUGCAACCUAAUUGUAUGUGAGAAUAUGAGACUCCUGAAGCAUUUCAGAGGCACAUUUCUUCUCUGAAACCAAACAGCAAUAUAAUCCAGAGAAGAGAACAGACAUUUAUUCAAAUUUUCACUAUUCCAGUCAGUCAUGCAUACAGUGCUGACUCAGGAGCAAACAUUAAAAAGCAGGAGCCAUGUGGGAACUUAGAAAUCUAAUUGUACAUCUCCCAGGGGGAAUCAUUACAACAGUGUCAAACAGGCCUUAAGCAGGAGGAAUGAAUGGGUGGGGGGAGAUCUGACAGCAGGGGGAAACAGUGCUGGCAGAAAAGGCCCCCAGAACAACAGGUACAAUCAACAAGCACAGCCUUCAGACUGAGGCUAGUAAGGAGAAAACUAAUAGCCUGUAUUAAAAGUAAAUGAGGAAGGCAUGGUACAAAUAUAGUAAGGAGAGAGCACAUUAAAACAUCCAGUGCAGGCCCCACUUCUGAGUGCCAUUAGGAGUUUAUACUCCUCCUUGUUUUCUUAGGCUUAUAACUGAAAUACUUAAUUUUAGACAUGACUGCAAACAAGCAAACUCAAAACUACAUCUCUAAGAAAACUGUAAGACAGCAAUAUUACUGGGGCUUAUUCAAGGUUCAGCACCUAGACAUAGAUGAAAUUCUAAUUAAAAGUUAAAUUCAGUACCUUAAGAAAAUUACUAUUCAACACAACAAGGGUGUUUUGCCUGAUUAUGUAACAUAGUUUUAUUUUACUGUGCACAGUAAAAUAACCCAAAAUGUUAGUGCAAGAAGACCACAGAGCUUUAGUGAUGGGCUGAAACUUAGGAAAGGCAUGUGUGUAUUAAUACUUGACUUCAGAAAAUAUGCAAAUCACUUCAGUGACACUGUGUUUGUCAUCUGUAUGAGAUAAUGGAUAGUCAACAGUCUUUCAUUGUUGGGUGGAUCAUCAAAAUAGUGUCUAAAUUAAGGAUCUGAUUAAUCUGUAUUAAAUAAUUUGUCAGUACAAGUAAAAUCAUUGCAAAUCUAACAUAAUCACAUUUCUGGGGGGGUUUUGUUGGGAUUUAUUUCACUUAUUACCAUUAAGAAUAGGGAUUUUUGUCAAUGCCCAAAUCACAUGGGAGGUUAAACUGGGAAGUUUCCAAAAUUCUGAUUGUGCACCAUGCCGCUCUCUCUUACAUAUUAAAAAAACCUGCUUUUUUAUCUAUUGUGAAAAUAUCUUCUUUUCUUGAGACAGGAACUACAAAUUCCACUCCUCCCAUUCACACCAAAAAGAACAUUACUCCCUAAACAGCACCACUUAAUCCAAAACAAACAGCGAGAUAUCUAAAAUAUCCUUUAGUUUACUUAGGGAUGUAAGACUCAAGAGACAGAGUACCUCCUUCUUGGAACAAAGGAAGGAGAGAGGGUGGAUUCAAAAGGGCUGUAAUCAAAAGGGUCUAACUCAUCUCCAAGUACCAUGGUCAAAUUUAUGAGUGUUUCCACAGAAAAAAAAAUAUGUCAGAAGGACAUCCUGGGUUGGAAUGCGGUAGAAUUGAUUCCCACAAGCCCAGGAAUGUUGCUGGUUUUCAUGAUAGAGCUGCUAAUCUUAUAAUAAAGUAACUUUUGAAUAUAUUUUGCAUUCAGUGAUGAGCUCCACUAGCAGUGACCUCCGUGUGAGCAGCCCUCCCCAGUAAUAGGGCUGUGGAAAUAUUGCUGGAGGCAGGUCUUGCAUUGCUUUCUUUUGUCUCUCCACUUAAGCUUUGCAGAAAGAUACUACCAGAAGCACAGAAAGGCCAUAAAACUGAAAACAUCAUUUUAAAUCAAAAGGCUUUUAGUGGUUGUCUUACAGGGGCUAUCUGUGUUCCCAACAGUGACUAUAGCAAUUACAUGAUGAAAACAUCUAGGCAGGUGCAUAAUUUAAAAAGGAAAAGGACAUCCUCCCCCUUUAGGAGAGGUCAGGCUUUAUAUUUGAGUAGGUCUGUUUGGCUAACAAAGGAGAAAAAAUGAGGACAGAGUGAAAGGAGGAAUGGAGCAGGAUUGAAAAAAAAAAUGAUGAGAGAAAAGAAUGGGCAGCAGAAAAAACUGCAGGGAAGGAGGAUGAAAGAGAAGGAUGACAUCUGACUUGGACAAAGGGUGAACCACAAACCUAGUCAUUGCCAGUGUCCAGGACAAAAAUAACUUGCUUGUCCAGCAGCAGCAGGGCAGCUGCCAGUGCAGCAGGACAGAGUCCCCCCCGCACUGCUCUGCCCAGCACAUCCCCAGCCCACUUCCAGAUCUGCCCCUUUCCCUGUGCUGUGUGGCAAAACCCAGUGUGUUCUCAGUCCCUGUGGUUGUGGUUAGGAAACUGCCGCAUGAUGGGUCUCAAUAGAAAAAGUAUUUUAAUACAAGAAAAACAGGAAACUCAAGCACGUUUUGAGUCUAAUUCAAUUUCAGUUCCGUGAUUCCUUUAUUUUCUAUGGACAAAAGGCAUGUAACAAAAUUAUGAACUGGGACGUGAAGAAAGCAGAACUGUGCACAUGACAGAUAAAACUGGCUCAUUAUGUGAAAACUGAAGCCAUGCAAAAUAAAAAUGCAGAGCAGAUUAGAGCACCUCUCAUCCAAAAACCAGUUAGGACCAGUCAAGCACAUCCCAGCACCUGGACAGAGUUUGAGCAGAGCAUAUAUGAACUGGCACAGGUCACAGCUUCACAAGAGGAGACCAGGUUAUGAAGAAAUGCAAAUAUUCUUUCUUCAUUUUAAGCUGAAAGCAGCUUCUGGUUUAGGAAUCUUCAGAGACAAGAUACAAGGUACCAGUUCAAUGUCAGCUGCCUCACACUCUCUUUGCAAUAUCAUCAGUGCAUUUUAGUGCUAAUGUACUAAAGCAUGACACUAGCUAAAGAUAACCACAUUCUAUUGAGAAACAUAACAAUAGAAAUAAUGGAAUAAGCACUUCAUGCAAUUUGCUAGGAAUGUCGUUUGGACACCAACAGCCAAAACAAACUAAAAUGGCAAAUGCAAGGACUCUAUUUUGAAAAGAUCUGCAAACAGACUCAGCAGCUUUACAGGGGGUCAUAUUUUCCACAAGGAUAAACUGUCCUUGAACAAUAUUUUCAGUGUUCUGGGUAUUAAUCUGCUUUCUUUUCAUAUGGAUUGUUCUCACCUACACUCCUUUUCCUUGAACAAAUAUUUACUGUGACCAAUAAAAUUCUGCUCUCCAUUUACGAGUUAAAUAGCAUCACAUUCCCACACGCUGCUUUAUAUACGUA
Molecule: long non-coding RNA, 4612 nt
Organism: Parus major (Great Tit)
Lineage: Eukaryota; Metazoa; Chordata; Aves; Passeriformes; Paridae
Exons: 3
Source: RefSeq, a predicted model, not a curated record